Molecule: non-coding RNA, 1025 nt
Organism: Podarcis lilfordi (Lilford's wall lizard)
Lineage: Eukaryota; Metazoa; Chordata; Lepidosauria; Squamata; Lacertidae
Source: the annotation of a GenBank genome assembly
GUGCUGAGAUCACACAUUUUGCUUCUUUAGAAGAACCAAGCCCAUAUGACUCAGGCUGAAUUCAUCCCUAAGCGCAUUUCUCUGGGAGUGAGUCCUACUAAAUUCAACAUUACUAGAGUUUCCUGAAUAGACAUACCUAGGAUUAGGCUGUUUGGGCUUUUGCGGACUUUGCUCGCUUUUUAGACUAUUUGCUACUUGCUCGUUCAUUUGCACUGUUCGUUCAUCUUAUUCUCUGAAUUGCCUUCACUUUCCCAUAGUGACAUCACGGCAUAACAACAUCUGAUUGGCUACGUAGUUUUUGCAAAAUCAAAUCAUUCAGUGCAAGACCCCAGAUUCAGUGGGAUCACUCUUGCAACUAAUCCAGGAAGGAGAAGGAAGGAAAGUAGAAGCCAAGUGAAACAAGGGUGAAUGUUGAAGAUUGGAAAAAAAAUGAAUCUCAGUAUUCAUGGGACUUACUUCUGAGUAGACAGGUUUAUGAAUGUGCUGUAAAACUGCUACAGUAAACCUCAACAUUGAAACCAAAGAAUAUUAAUCAGAGCUCUGCUAUUUAUUGUUCCCACCUGGCUUCUCCCAUCUCCACAUCUUUACAAAGAUCUGUCUUGGAGUUCAUGGUCCAUCAUCUAUCUUUCAGUUUUCUACAGUGGGAGAGCCUUUCCAGUCUUACUACCUUUUAGUAAAUAUAAAUGGAGAGGUAGAGUUUAAAUGAAGCCCUGUUAAUGAACUCUUAACAACCCACUCACAUCAGCAUGCACUCUCUCUGUUUUCCUUUUAAAGCUGGGAAUCUGUAUAGAUGUCGCUGAAACUUUCUCAUGACGAGAGGAAAUUAUCUCAAUUUUUACUUGUGAUGAUUUUGUGGGUAGCUGAGAUAUACGAGGGACAGUCAACGUGGAGUCCUCCAGAAGUUGUUGCUGAAUUUUGGCUCCCACAAUCUCUGGUUGAGCUGACUGGAAUUUUAGUCCUGCAGUUUCUGAAGGCCAACAUCUUGGCAAACCUCCUGAGCUACAGGAGAACGAUGUGAUUCACAC